This 465-nucleotide ribosomal RNA is filed under the name Vreelandella stevensii. Its description in RNAcentral is "partial 16S ribosomal RNA". It matches the Rfam family "Bacterial small subunit ribosomal RNA", at positions 338 to 795 of the family's 1533-position model. Lineage: Bacteria; Pseudomonadati; Pseudomonadota; Gammaproteobacteria; Oceanospirillales; Halomonadaceae. The record is from RNAcentral.
CCUACGGGCGGCAGCAGUGGGGAAUAUUGGACAAUGGGGGGAACCCUGAUCCAGCCAUGCCGCGUGUGUGAAGAAGGCCCUCGGGUUGUAAAGCACUUUCAGUGAGGAAGAACGCCUGGUGGUUAAUACCCAUCAGGAAAGACAUCACUCACAGAAGAAGCACCGGCUAACUCCGUGCCAGCAGCCGCGGUAAUACGGAGGGUGCGAGCGUUAAUCGGAAUUACUGGGCCUAAAGCGCGCGUAGGUGGCUUGAUAAGCCGGUUGUGAAAGCCCCGGGCUCAACCUGGGAACGGCAUCCGGAACUGUCAAGCUAGAGUGCAGGAGAGGAAGGUAGAAUUCCCGGUGUAGCGGUGAAAUGCGUAGAGAUAGGGAGGAAUACCAGUGGCGAAGGCGGCCUUCUGGACUGACACUGACACUGAGGUGCGAAAGCGUGGGUAGCAAACAGGAUUAGAUACCCCGGUAGUC